UAUAUCUUAUCUGAUUUUCAAUAUAACACUAGGGAGUUGGUGCUAAUAUUACCCCCAUCUUUGAGAAGAGGGAUGGUCCAAAGCUUUUAAGUGUCUGAGUGAGGAUUCCAAGUCUGGUCUUCUUGACUAUAAGGCCAGCUUUGAAUCUACCAUCUUCCCUAGCUGCCUAAUGAACUUCCCCCUCAGACCUCACAUAACAUUUUAUUUUGUGUCUCUCUAAUGUGUUCAUCAUUCACUGCUGUGAUUUAUAUAUUUGUGUCAUCCCCCACCACUCUAUCAGUAGCUUUAGGAAGGUGGAGAUGGUAUUUUAACUAAGCUUUGUUAUCUUCUCCAGUGACCAAUGAAGUACUCUAAAUACAGCGAGGGCUUAACAUAUGCUCCUUGUUUUCAACCAGGGAAGAAAACAAGAAGCUGACAUUUCUAUAGAGCAAUCAAAGAAUUCUAUCCUGCAGUAGUCUCCCUUCUUUCCACUCAGAGCACCUCCUGACCAAGGCUCAACAAUGAUUUUGUUUGAGAGAUAGGCCUUAAGAAAUCCACUUCCUACCUGGGGAAUGAUAAGGCACUUUCAGGAGAGGUCACAAAGGCAGGAACUGAGGUAAGGUUUAAAUCUAUCAGUCCCUGAUUUGUCUAGCCCUGACUACUCGUAACCUCUCCUCUGUGUCCCUAGGUCUCAGGUGAAAGUGGCCUAGGGCUCCACUUCUUGGUAAAGGUCAGAGAGAUUCCACAGACGGCUCCUGUAUCCAGUCCCCCUGCCAACCAGGUGUCUGGAACAUGUCACCUCCCCCUGGGCCAGGCUGGUCUCAGAUUUGGCCACAUAUUUGGAGAGAGACAGAGAGAAAGAGAGGGAGAGGGAGAGGGAGAGAAAGAGGAAGAAGAAAGGAAGAGGAGACAGAGAGAUAGAUCUUCAGGAAGACAGCUGGAAGAGCAGAAAACCCUCAACUCUGGUUGAGACAAGAAUGCGUUUUCAUUCCCAGAUUCUUAACACAAUCACAACCUCAGGCCAAGCUCAAGAGUAAGAAUAAUGAAGACCAAAAAAGAUUAAGAACAAAAAUUUACCUCCUGUUUGACCUGUGUGGAGGAAUUGGGCACAGCCAUCCAUGAAUAUCUUGGGUCACAGAAACAAGAAGAGAAAUCUUUGGAUACAGCCUCCUAGUUCCCCCAAACUCCUGUCUCUUGCAGCUGUACCUGGACUUUUUCUACUAUGACUUAGCAGGAGAAAUCUUUAGCGGUGGCAGGUCUGACAUCAAAUGACUGUCCAGAGGGAGCAGACUAAGUACCUUCCCCUUCACUGUGAGGUUUUUCAAUUAAUAUUCUCUCCUCCAUUGUAGAUAUACUACUUUGGGUUUGAAUCAGUCCUUGGCCUGCUACCUGUAGGGACUUGGAAAAGUCACUUAACCUUCAGGGGACUCAGUUUCCCCUCUAUAGAUAGCUUCUAAGGUCCUUUCUAGUUCUAAAUCUAUGAUUGGUGAAACGGCCCUCAGAAGUCAUGUAGUUGUUGUUUUUUCUUAAUUUUUGCAAAUACAUUAUUUAUUUUUAACAUUCUUUUUUUUUAAAUUUGGAGUUCCAAAUUCUCUCCUUCCCUCCAGCCCCGUCCCCACCCAUUGAGAAGGCAAGCAAUAUAUCAACUGUACAUAUGAAAUCAUGUAAAACAUACUUCCAUAUUGUCCAUGUUGAAAAAAAAAAGCAAGAAAAAUAAAGUGAGAAAAAACAUAGUUCA
This is a long non-coding RNA of Phascolarctos cinereus (koala), 1717 nucleotides long. The record is from Ensembl. NCBI's taxonomy places the organism in Eukaryota, Metazoa, Chordata, Mammalia, Diprotodontia, Phascolarctidae.